GGCAGCGGGGAAUGGUCUGCAAUGGCUGAAAGCCUGCCGGAGCAAUGCUGUGUGGGGAUAGAAGUCCCCCAAGUUAUGAGAUUGAAUCUUAGAGAAGAAACAAUGAUAGUAUCUAGGGAAUAAGCAUCAGCCAACUCUAUGCCAACACUAGUGGUAAUAUAGAGGAUGUA
Molecule: non-coding RNA, 170 nt
Filed under: Eucalyptus grandis
Lineage: Eukaryota; Viridiplantae; Streptophyta; Magnoliopsida; Myrtales; Myrtaceae
Description: Bacterial small subunit ribosomal RNA
Rfam family: Bacterial small subunit ribosomal RNA
Source: Rfam by way of RNAcentral